This 2730-nucleotide unclassified non-coding RNA is filed under the name Hevea brasiliensis (rubber tree). Lineage: Eukaryota; Viridiplantae; Streptophyta; Magnoliopsida; Malpighiales; Euphorbiaceae. The record is from RNAcentral.
GCAAACUGAGAGUAAGUUGUUUGUUAUUGUAGUAUCUACUAAAUCCACAUUCAAUGGGAUCCUCAAAAGUCCCUCUGAAUCAUAACCGUCCAAUUUCACCACCGAAGGGUUCUCACUUGACUACACGUGCUGCCCAUCUUUUUUUUCCUUUUUAAUGUUUUGCUUCCAUGCAUGAAAUUCUCCUCCUACUACAGCACAAAAACAAAGAGAAACAGUCAUGUUUUGCUUUGAUUCUUCUUUAUAGAACCCCUUCAUCACCAUCAUUAGCGACCCAUCAUCAUCCUCUUCAAAAGCUUUGAUUUUCUCCGCUAUGAGAAUUGCCUGUUAAUUUCUUUUUCAUCUUUUCUUGUUUUAGCUUUCAAGAGAGGCUAAAUGUGUGUGUACUUGAGAAAUGGGAUUUGAAGGGCCUCUUUUGGUUGUUCUGAUCUUGUACUUUACAAAAACUGUCACAUCUCUCAACGCUUUUGAUUCUUCUGAUCAAUCAGUAGUGACAAAGAAAAUAAACUUCGUGAUCUGUUGUCUCUGUUUCUCGAUCUGAAUUUUAUUUUUGCUGCUGCUUUCUCUGCUUAGUAUGAUUUUGGGUCUUCUUUCAAUCAUGAAAAAUGCUGCAUCUUUGAAGGCUUCAGGUAAGGUAUGAGUUACUGAUCUGCCAUCCUUCACUGGGUAUUUUUGAUUUUGUGCAAUCAGAUCAAUCAUGGAAGCAAAUCCGAAGAAAAAAUUGUUCAUCUGUAAGUUUUGUAACAAGAGGUAUCCUUGUGGCAAGUCUUUGGGUGGUCAUAUUAGGAUCCAUCUGAAUGGGAAUGGGAAUUCAAUUGAUAUAGAAGAAGAUGACGUCAAGCUCAACUCAAUCAAGUCUUUUGCUGCUGUCGAUGGAAGCAACAGCAAGAGGGACUCUGAGCCUGAAGCGGGUGCCCAAUCUGGUUAUGGUCUUAGAGAGAACCCCAAGAAGACUAGGAGGUUUUUGCUGGAUUCAAAAAACAGUAGUUUUCUGCAAGAAAAGGUGUGCAAGGAAUGUGGUAAAGGGUUUCAAUCAUUGAAAGCUCUCUGUGGUCACAUGGCUUGUCACUCUAAGAAUAGCUUUGAAGAUCACUCAGAGCCUACUGAGAAGCUCAAAGAUCAAGUUAUGGAUAGCCAAUCUGAUACUGAGACAUCGACUCCUAGUAAGCGAAAGAGAUCCAAAAGGAUGAGGUACAAGACUAUUGGUGUUUACUCUUCUUCAAUUUUUUUGGCCAAUGGUUCUAUGUCUUCUGCUUCUGAUAUAGAGCAAGAGCAAGAAGAAGUUGCUAUGUGUUUGAUGAUGUUGUCUAAGGAUUCUGGUUUUAAAGGUUGUUUUAGUUCGAUUGCAGAUUCCUCAGAUAACAAUUCUGCGGUUUUAGAGACCAAAUCAUCGUCUCCCAAAAUGAAAAUUAGUGUAAAGAAUGGGGUUAAUUGUGUGUAUGAUGAUGAUAGGAUUUUGGAGAUGAAGAAAGCAAAGCAACAGGAAAUGUUGUCAAUUGAAAAUGAUCACUCUGACAAUUCUGAUUCUGGGUAUUUUAGAAAUGGACCCAAAAGAGUUGAAUCUGAUAUUUCUGUUCAUAGAUUUACUGGGAACGAUGAAUUCAAGAAGCAUAAAGUGGAAUUUGAGUCUAGAUUUGGAGAGGACUUCGAUCCUGAAUUGGGGAAGAGAUUAAGCAGGUUUAGGCGAAUUAAAAUGGAAUUGCGGAAGGAUCUUACUGAGGAAGACAGAUAUGAUGAAGCUGAUAGAGCUCCACUGAAGUAUGAUUCAAGAAAGAGAGGCAAGAACGAAUCUUACCAUACUGAAUUUCUUAGCAGCAAUGCUUCAAAGACAGCAGGAGGACACAGGACCAACCAUAAAAAGACUACCAUUUGUAGUGACAGAGUUUAUGGGAGUGGUGAGAACAGCAUAGAUAGUAACUGUGUUCCUAGUCCAUUGCCUAGUGGUAGUAUUAGCAGUAAGAAAAUCAAAUCUUGCAGUGGGAAAAACCCAAUUGAGCAUAAUUUGUCUGGAAGUUCAGAGAAAAAAUUGGGUUUCAGAAAAGUCAAAGUACAUGAAUGCCCAUUUUGCUUUAAGGUUUUCCGGUCAGGUCAAGCUUUAGGCGGUCACAAGAGGUCCCAUUUCGUUGGAGGUGCUGAGGAUAGAACUGUGGUGAUUAAACAAGAAGUGCCUAAGAUAUCGAUGCCUGGAUUAAUUGAUCUCAAUCUUCCAGCUCCAAUGGAAGAAGAUUCAAAUGGGUAUUAUAUUCCAACAUGGUAAUUCUCGAAUUUCUGCAAGUGGGUAAGCCUAACAGAAAUCGGUUUUCGAUGAAGAUUCCAGGGAAGAUAAAAGUGUAAAGGCAGGUUGGUGAAUGUUUUUAGUUGUUUUGCUUCAGAUUCAAGGAUGUCUUACAGAGGUAACGUUUCAUUUGUUGCUUAAGAAAUGGAAGAAGCAUCAUCUUUUUUUUAUUUUUUUUUUGGAGGCCCUUAAAUUCGUAGACCCUUUUGCUUUGGUGAACAUAGAUAUAAUAUUUUUGAAUACCAAGUUUCUUUCUUUGCUGUUAUUCCUGAUUGUAUGCUACUUGAUUUCUUCAUUUUAAUUUUUUUUAUAUAUGGGUAAUGCAACCAUUAACUUUUGAGUUCAAGAUCUCAUCAUCAUCUUUUGAGGGAAGAGAAAACAGGUGGUGUGUGUGUGGAUGAUCAUUUAGGAAGCAAAGAUCAAGUACCAACAGGCAAACAUUGUCCCACCAACUGAAA